Molecule: long non-coding RNA, 2551 nt
Organism: Hypomesus transpacificus
Lineage: Eukaryota; Metazoa; Chordata; Actinopteri; Osmeriformes; Osmeridae
Exons: 5
Source: RefSeq, a predicted model, not a curated record
GUAAAUUGUGGUAGGUUAUGUAAAUUCACAGGAGGAACUUAUGAUGAGGAACUAAGGAAUCUGUUUCGUUAUGUGCUGAUUUGAGCCAUGGGAUGAAUCAUGUCUCAAACAGGAGGGAUAGAGAUAACGAAAGAGUGUUUAUAGCAUAUGGAUUUCUAUUCAAGGAAACUUUAAGAUAUAUUGUUUUAGCAUACCCUAUUUGUGCAAACAUGAUAUGCAUGAACUUUAUUGAACUAAAGAAAUGUGAACAGGAAAAUACUGCCUGGUAAUUAUAGAUGCAGUAUGUUUCCUAUGUGAAUUGAGGCCUUUCCCAGUCCUAUACCAGAUGCUUGACACCAUUUGAAUUGAUUUAUUGGAGAUCAUAUGUACUACCACAACUUAAACCUUUCACAUAGCAUGAUGAAGAGGUGAAUCAAAUGGUUAACCGAUUUUAUAAAAAUGCUAACUAGAAAAGAGAUAUUUUCUGCUAAAUUCUGUUCCAGGUUAAGCUGUAACCCAAAGAGUGGAGGAGUUAAACCAGGAAAUUGGUUUGACAGUUACAUUUUGAAUUACAUUCAUUUUGAUAAUUUCUUUAAUUUUUUCUAUAUUACAAUUCUAAAAAGCUUGGCUAAAGUUGUAUGUAUGUGGUGAAGGGGGCCUGUGAGAAUGUCCAGGUCUGCCGUGGAUACAUGGAUGUCGAAUGUCCACUCUGCGGAGUGAUGGACGAGUCAGAGUGGCGGGUCUGACUAUCUUUGGAUCUACAACCCCUGUUCUAAGGCCCCACUCCCCUGGAGACCCUGUUCCCCCCCCUUUCUCUCUGGAUGAUCUACCCCUUCCCCUUGGAGACCCUGCCCCAUCUGCCCUUAUGCCUCAUCAGACAUAGGAGUGGUCUGCCCUCCCCUCCUUCCCCUUGAAGACCCUGCCCCACCUGCCCCAAUACAUCAUCAGAUGUUCGGGAAAGCCUGUUGUACAUUUAUGGACAGGACCAUUCCAGGUCAUAGAGAGAACCUCGCACGCCCUACGGGUGCUGGGGAAAGGGUGUAUGUGGUAUGUGGUUUUCAGUCCUUCAAAACCUAUUCUAAUUCUGAUUCUAAAAAAACUGAUGCAGCACCCCCAAUGCAACAAUCAACAGAUCGCUCAUUAAGGGAACGCCCAAAACAAAAAAGCAGAGAGCGAUCGCUGGAAGAGUGGGACAACAUAAAUCAAAAAUGCCAAAACUGGGGGGAGUUAUUGCAAAGGAUGCAGUAUGAACUAAACAACCUGACGACAAAAUUACGAAACCGCUGUGACAAGAGCAACACAGGAGGAGAAAUGAGACUGGGAGUGCCUGGAACACAAACAACACCACACAGAGACUGUUUAUGCUGAUGGUAAUGAAGGCAAUACUUCAAAAUGUACAAAAGUGUCUAGACGGUGUGGUAGGCCUGAUGAGAAUGGACUGGCCAUUGCUCCAAGGACACAUGGUCCAUCACGUCAAUAACUGCAGAGAAAAAAAACUGGAAGCGGAGGCCCAGGAUCCCGACAACCCGACACCCCAGGCCCCAGUGAUGUUCCAGCCACAACCCCAACCUCCUGCUCCACCAGGACCAGUGCAGGCAGCACCAGUCAACCCCCAGAUACCACCCUGCCACUAAUCCAAGUGCAUGAUGGCACUUGGACUCAGAUGACAACUAUCAAUCCUGGAAGGGAAGAGGUGGACCUAUGCAACGUAGAGUGAGACCCCGUGGGGGAGGAGGACGAGGCCCACCCCAACAGCAGGACAGACGAGCACAAUCCAACCCCAAUCCGACUGACAAUCAGCACGCAUGGGGGUGCUGGGGAUGUGGACAACAAGGACAUAUAAGAAGAAACUGUCAAAAAUUCCGUAUUUGGUGCCAGCUGCAGGCUGGCAGUAGAGGUUUCCAGAGGAGCCUGAGAGGGAAAAGAUGUCACCAUAAAUCUCAUUACCACCAAAAAAGUAAAAAAGGGUGACGAAAAGGCUUCAAUCUCCCCCUCUCAGGUACAUCCACCCAAACUGUAGGCUUUUCUGGGAAAACAAGAGUGAUACCCCCUACGGAGCCACUCACAAUGCAAACUGAAUGAAAAACUAUUGUAGAGCCUCUACUUAGCACACUCUCCCAUCAAUCUAUUAAGAAAAGACAUUCUCUGCAUAUUAAAAGACAAUAUUGUGUGUACCCAAAGCGGCCUGCCAGGGGAGUUUCAUGAAAAUCCCUCAGCAAACCAGAUCCAUUCAUGAAUGCAACAGCAGAAAGACCCCCACAGCCAGGGGCACCGCACCAUGGACAGCGUUCCAGUAGAAACCACCGGCACCUUGGAGAGCGGCACGACAAGCCCGGAUCGAGGCCAUGAGGGGGAGGCCGCCACAGCAGGAGACAACGAGCAAAACAGUAAGGAGUGUGAGGUAGAGACGAGACCGGCCUGAACAGUCAAGACCAAGUGCUGUGCUGUUCGGUCCUGCCUACGGCCCUUGGUGGCUACAACUUUUAUACACAUUAAACCAAUAAAACAUGCUUCACAAGUUUAUAAGGUACAUUCAACAAUUUUGUUUAAUAAAGCAACAUCGUUUCAACAG